RNAcentral lists this ribosomal RNA (407 nucleotides) under uncultured bacterium. Its description in RNAcentral is "partial 16S ribosomal RNA". It matches the Rfam family "Bacterial small subunit ribosomal RNA", at positions 30 to 526 of the family's 1533-position model. The record is from RNAcentral.
AUCGAACGCUGGCGGCAGGCCUAACACAUGCAAGUCGAGCGGAACGAGGGACGGGAGAGUAAUUCCUGGGAAUCUGCCUGGUAGAGGGGGAUAACAUCCGGAACCGGACGGUAAUACCACAUACUAUCAGAUGAGACUAGGUCGGAUUAGCUAGGUGGUGGGGUAGAGGAAUACCAAGGCGACGGUCCGUAACUGGUCUGAGCGGAUGAUCAGUCACACUGGAACGGAGACACGGUCCAGACUACUACGGGAGGCAGCAGUGGGGAAUAUUGGACAAUGAGCGAAAGCCUGAUGCAGCCAUGCCGCGUGGGUGAAGAAGGCCUUCGGAUUGUAAAGCACUUUAAGUUGGGAGGCGUUACCAACAGAAUAAGCACCGGCUAACUUCGUGCCAGCAGCCGCGGUAAUAC